This 450-nucleotide ribosomal RNA is filed under the name uncultured Diversispora. RNAcentral's name for it is "SSU rRNA". It matches the Rfam family "Eukaryotic small subunit ribosomal RNA", at positions 569 to 1022 of the family's 1831-position model. Lineage: Eukaryota; Fungi; Glomeromycota; Glomeromycetes; Diversisporales; Diversisporaceae. The record is from RNAcentral.
AGCAGCCGCGGUAAUUCCAGCUCCAAUAGCGUAUAUUAAAGUUGUUGCAGUUAAAAAGCUCGUAGUUGAACUUCGGGGUUUACCCAUCGGUCAGGCUUAAUUGUCUGUACUGGUGAGAUAAAUCUCUACCUUCUGAGGAACUUUCAUGCCAUUUAUUUGGUGUGAUUGGAAAUCAGGACUAUUACUUUGAAAAAUUAGAGUGUUUAAAGCAGGCUAACGUCUGAAUAUAUUAGCAUGGAAUAAUGAAAUAGGACGGCUUGGUUCUAUUUCGUUGGUUUCUAGGAUCACCGUAAUGAUUAAUAGGGAUAGUUGGGGGCAUUAGUAUUCAAUUGUCAGAGGUGAAAUUCUUGGAUUUAUUGAAGACUAACUACUGCGAAAGCAUUUGCCAAGGAUGUUUUCAUUAAUCAAGAACGAAAGUUAGGGGAUCGAAGACGAUCAGAUACCGUCGUA